UAACGGCGAGUGAACCGGGAAGAGCUCAAAUUUGAAAUCUGGCGUGCUCAGUGCGUCCGAGUUGUAAUCUAUAGAGUCGUUUUCCGUGCCGGACUGUGUCCAAGUCCCUUGGAACAGGGUAUCAAAGAGGGUGAUAAUCCCGUACUUGACACAAUGACCGGUGCUCUGUGAUACGUCUUCUACGAGUCGAGUUGUUUGGGAAUGCAGCUCAAAAUGGGUGGUGAGUUCCAUCUAAAGCUAAAUAUUGGCGAGAGACCGAUAGCGAACAAGUACCGUGAGGGAAAGAUGAAAAGCACUUUGGAAAGAGAGUUAAACAGUACGUGAAAUUGUUAAAAGGGAAACGAUUGAAGUCAGUCGUGACUGAGAGGCUCAGCCGGUUCUGCCGGUGUAUUCCCCUCAGUCGGGUCAACAUCAGUUUUGUUCGGUGGAUAAGGGCAGUUGGAAGGUGGCACCCUCGGGUGUGUUAUAGCCAGCUGUCGCAUACAUCGGAUGAGACUGAGGAAUGCAUCUCGCCUUUAUGGCCGGGGUUCGCCCACGUUCGAGCU
This 545-nucleotide ribosomal RNA is filed under the name Papiliotrema flavescens. Its description in RNAcentral is "eukaryotic LSU rRNA". It matches the Rfam family "Eukaryotic large subunit ribosomal RNA", at positions 84 to 617 of the family's 3401-position model. The record is from RNAcentral. Lineage: Eukaryota; Fungi; Basidiomycota; Tremellomycetes; Tremellales; Rhynchogastremaceae.